Molecule: non-coding RNA, 1557 nt
Organism: Heterocephalus glaber (naked mole-rat)
Lineage: Eukaryota; Metazoa; Chordata; Mammalia; Rodentia; Bathyergidae
Source: RefSeq, a predicted model, not a curated record
CCUGCUGUUGGCUUCCUUCUUUCCUUUCCUGUUUAAUUUCUUGCCUUACCUGGUGGAUUCAUUCUGUUGGGGUUCAUGGAGUUGCAAUUCUUGUUUUCUCUUUCUAAAAUAUUCUUCAGAACACUUUGGAGGGCUGAUUUGGUGGUCUUGAAUUUUUCAGGUGUUCUUUGUCAGGGCAGUAUCUUAUUUCUCUCUCAAUUUUGAAAAGUAGUUUUGCAGGGUACAUCAGUCUGGGUUGGAGGUUGUUUUCCUUUAGGGGUUGAAAUGCUUCAUCCCAAGCUCUCCUUGACUUGAAGUUGUGUUGAGAAGUUGGCUGUGAUUCCUCUAUAGACCUGGUGACCUUGUAGCUCCAGCAGCCGUCUUGUCCACUGCUUUGAUGACACCCACAGCAACUGUCUGUCUCAUAUCACGAACAGCGAAACGACCCAGAGGUGGAUAGAGAAGCUCUUCACACACCUGGGCUUGCCUGGAACCAUGCCAGCAAUGGCAGCAUCACCAGAUUUCAAGAAUUUGGGGCCAUCUUCCAGCUUCUUACCAGACCGGCGAUCCAUCUUUUCUUUUAGCUCAGCAAACUUGCAAGUGAUGUGAGCCGUGUAGCAAUCCAGUACAGGAGCACAGCCAGCACUGAUCUGGCCCGGAUGGCUCAGCAUAAUCACCUGAGCAGGGAAACCAGCUGCUGCCACAGCUGGGUCAUUUUUGCUGUCACCAGCAACGUUGCCACUGUGAACAUCUUUGACAGACACGUUCUUGACAUUGAAGCCCACAAUGUCACCAGGAAGAGCUUCACUCAAAGCCUCAUGGUGCAUUUCAACAGACUUUACUUCAGUUGUGACAUUGACUGGUGUGAAGGUGACCACCACGCCAGGUUUGAGGACACCAGUCUCCACUCGGCCCACAGGGAAGGUGAUCAGAGCAGACUCCUCAGAUUCCACACUCGCAGAGCAAAGGAUAAAUAUGGAGGCAAAGUUGCCGAUGAGACUAUGAGGAACUAGCCUGCAAGCUCAAACUUGACCAAGGGGUGAUGAAGAUGAGAAAUAAAGAGAUACAGAAACAAGUUAAAAUCUGGGGGGCCAGGGGCACUCUGUGUCCCUUGACAUAGAGCCCCAAAUGACUGGCGCACCCUGGCUUUAUUCACUCAGGCAUGGGCACAAGCCAUCAGAGUUUCACAGGAUUCAUCUGUCUCCCUCCUUCCACCGUAAUUCUCUGGAGAAAAAACUUAACCUCAGGUGUUUUUACUUUUCCCUGCAGCAUGUUGGCACACUUGCAUGCUCUCUUCUCAUUGUUCACCGAGGAGGCCAAUUGGGCCUCAUUCUUCCCAUCUGGUCUGCCAUAUCUCACUAGCAAUGAAUAAAAUUCAUGUUGCUCUACAUCCUCACAAGCAUUUUGAAUGACUGGUGAAUGAUCUUUUCUUCAAAAGGAAAAAAUAAAUACAUAAAGAGAUAUAAGAGAUAUAAAUAAAGAAACUACAUUGUUGCAUCACUGAUUGCAAGGAUUUAAGUCAGGACCCCAAAUUACAGGUGUGUCUGAGAUAGACCUGCGGUAGCACCCACCUCCAGU